GCUUACGGCCACACCGCCUGGUUCACGCCCGAUCUCGUUUGAUCUCGGAAGCUAAGACAGGUUGGGCCUGGUUAGUACUUGGAUGGGAGACCGCCUAGGAAUACCAGGUGCUGUAAGGC
Molecule: ribosomal RNA, 119 nt
Organism: Scophthalmus maximus (turbot)
Lineage: Eukaryota; Metazoa; Chordata; Actinopteri; Pleuronectiformes; Scophthalmidae
Source: Ensembl